RNAcentral lists this ribosomal RNA (253 nucleotides) under uncultured bacterium. RNAcentral's name for it is "partial 16S ribosomal RNA". It matches the Rfam family "Bacterial small subunit ribosomal RNA", at positions 524 to 776 of the family's 1533-position model. The record is from RNAcentral.
UACGAAGGGUGCAAGCGUUACUCGGAAUUACUGGGCGUAAAGCGUGCGUAGGUGGUUGUUUAAGUCUGUUGUGAAAGCCCUGGGCUCAACCUGGGAACUGCAGUGGAAACUGGACAACUAGAGUGUGGUAGAGGGUAGCGGAAUUCCCGGUGUAGCAGUGAAAUGCGUAGAGAUGCGGAGGAACACCGAUGGCGAAGGCAGCCCCCUGGGCCAACACUGACGCUCAGGCACGAAAGCGUGGGGAGCAAACAGG